CCAAUAGCGUAUAUUAAAGUUGUUGCAGUUAAAAAGCUCGUAGUUGAAUUUCGGGACUAAUAUGUCGGUCGUACUUUGUACGUACUAGCAUUAUUGGUUUCUCCCUUCUGACGAACCACGAUGUCAUUAAUUUGGUGUCGUGGGAAAUCAGGACUGUUACUUUGAAAAAAUUAGAGUGUUUAAAGCAAGCUCGUGCUUGAAUACAUUAGCAUGGAAUAAU
Molecule: ribosomal RNA, 220 nt
Filed under: uncultured Glomus
Lineage: Eukaryota; Fungi; Glomeromycota; Glomeromycetes; Glomerales; Glomeraceae
Description: partial small subunit ribosomal RNA
Rfam family: Eukaryotic small subunit ribosomal RNA
Source: RNAcentral